Ooceraea biroi (clonal raider ant) is the source of this 2688-nucleotide long non-coding RNA. RefSeq lists it as uncharacterized. NCBI's taxonomy places the organism in Eukaryota, Metazoa, Arthropoda, Insecta, Hymenoptera, Formicidae. The record is from RefSeq and is a predicted model, not a curated record.
AUAUACUCAUACGUAUUUAAUAUAAUUCUUAUUUGUUUAAAGAUAUUUUAAACUUUUUUCUUAAUUUUAUUAACAACACGUUACAUACUAACGCGCAAUAAUAGCUUGAUUGCAUAUUUCGAUAGUAAAAUAUUAACAUUGAGAAAAACCAAUUUAUAUAUACAAUUUGUUAUCCGAGCGACGUAUCUGAGUACGGUCGAUGAAUCGCAUUUUAUUUCAUGAUGACGUCAUUAUCAUCAGAACAGCAUGUGCUAUUCAUGUUAAAUGGUAAUCAAAUCAUUUCCGUCUAAUAUUAAUGAUCAAACAGCAGCAUUGUUCUUCGAUUAGAUCAUUUUUGUACUGGAAUCUUUCUACUUUCAAAAAUAAGUAAUGUUAUUAAUCACACGAGAUGUUUAAUAUUUUCUGCGUUUGCUUUCAAUGAAUUUUUUAAAUAAUCUACAAUUAAUAUACUUUCUUAGCAAACAUGUAAAUGUUAAAAUGUGAUCAACUAUUAAUAGAAUCUAUUAUUUAUAUAUUUUAUAAAAUACUUAUUACAAGGCAUGAAAAAAUUUAGCAUGCGAAAGAAUAUGAAAAGACCUUCACAGAAUAAGAAAAGUGCUCAUUUAUUCUUGGAAUAAUCUCUCACGGUCUUUAUAGUUCUGAAAUUCUGAAAUAAAUUUUUAGCGCAGAUCUAUCUACAGGUUUCUUUGCGAUAACAUCAUGUAGCCAUGGAACACAAGUGCUAUAUGAUAACAUAUCUAUCGUAAUGACAGUAAUAUCUUAUUGCGUAUAUUGUAUAAGAUUAAAAUUCUGAAAAAAAUAGGAUUUAUUUCCAGUUUUUCUUUCUUCUUUUCUUAAUCUUUUUUGCAAUAUGUAAUAAUAUUAUCAGCCAUUAGAAGAUAAUCUUGAUGAAUAUAAAUAACGUUAGUCGAGAUACAUUGAAAUGUAAUUGGAUCUAAUUUAAAAAGGAGGGCAGUGCUCGCAAUCAAGUCUGUACUUUUCCACAUUCAACCUCUCUUCCUGUAUUAAUAUACAUAGUAUAGUAAUGAGACUUGAACUAAAUUUCUAAAUUAAUAACAUUUUUCUCUUAGUUUCUAAAAUAUUUAUUGAUUAUUAACUUUGUUUAAACUCGAUUCUUUAUAUUACUAUUCUUAUUUCUCGUUUUGGAAUUUAUAAUUAAAAAUAUAUGAAAUAAAAUAACAUUUUGUUAAAAUACGAAUUGGAGUGCUUAAAAUAUAAGUCUAUUAAGAGAGUCAUUAUGCAUUAGUCCCGAAAUUUUCUAGAUUCUGUACACAAAGCACUACUAAAGAUAUUUUCAAGCACAUUUAAAGCGUUUUAACUAGUGAAGGUAUUUUGAAUAUCUUUACUAGUUAAAAUACUUUAGAUAUGCUAAUUUGCGAUACGCGUAAUCUUUUUUCCUCAAAAGAUAUAAUCUUUGCGGUGUGUUUACAUAUCCAACUAGUAUAGUUAUAUUUAGCUUUGAGGAAGUUGAUACACCGCUAACAAGGAUAUAUGCGAAUUCACAUGCUUUUAGAAACCUACAAUUUAUGCACAAGAUAACGUAAGUUACUGCUUUUAAAUUAUGUUUCAGUGUACAUAUAACUGAAGAACUAAAGUUCAGUUUUAGAUAACAAUGAAAGUCAAACUCAAUUUCAGACAGGAACAAACCCUUCCAUCCAGAGGGAGCAGAGCUUCAGGAAUCCGCGAACCGCGAUUCUGAUCCGGAAUGAGAUGCCACCAAUCUGUCUCCAUGAUUUCUAUUAUGCACUAUCACAACUCAACGUUUCGUCAAGAUUUUCGCAUCCCAUGACAAACAACCGGCCGUAGAAACGGUUGCCGGGGUUCUUGACUCCCGUGACUGCGACACUUCGGCCUAUGCACGGAUCGAUAGGCAGCCCUAUUCUUGCAUUCUUGAAUGUAAAGUGUGAUUACGCGACCUAUCUUAUAUCGCGAGAAUCAUAUAUAUGUAUGCACAUUACUCAGGAAACAGACAAAAUGUUGCUACAUGUAGUAAAUAACAUAGUUAGUUCUAAUAAUAGCGCAGAUAGUUAUGAUUCACAAGCAUUAUAAAUCACGAUCUUAAUCAAGUUUCAUUUUCCUCUGCAGUUGCAGUUUGCGCAUGAUUCUCUCACACAGAGAAUUCCGAGUAAACGAAUCUUAUAGAUUUCGAUUACCUCGUCAUCAUCAAUAAUAUCAAUGAAACUCAUACGAGUUCUUCUAAUUUAAGAGUUAUAAUUUUAAAUACCUUGGAAGAGUUUUGAAAGCGGUUCUAAAUAAAAAUAAAUAAAAAUCUCUUCUGAAUAAAAAUAAAAAUUAUCUUAAUCCGAAAUUCAAUUUUCAUUUCGAUCAAUAAUUUCAAUUGAAAUUAGAUGUGUGCGAAUUCGGGGAAGAAUAAAAAAUCAGAUUGUAAAAAGCUUCAGGAUCGUAUCAAGCAGUAGGAACAUACCUGACUGCAACAAGUUUCAAGAUUGCGCAAGCACCGAAUGUUAUCGCAAGGACUUUGCAAAGUCAUCCUGUAACAAUGAAGAUGUUAAAAAUCUUGGUUUAUCUAUACAUUUUUUCAUCAUAUGUUUUGGAAUGAAACUGAUAAAAUCUGGCGAGUACUUUUCUUGGGAUCGUUUCGUUCUAUGCGAUCGGUCGUAAGUAAAUCAAUACUUUACGACAGGCCUAAUAGUGACGACGCAUAUUCUCCUACACAGACAAUGGAAA